Long non-coding RNA from Mastomys coucha (southern multimammate mouse), 132 nucleotides. RefSeq lists it as uncharacterized. Lineage: Eukaryota; Metazoa; Chordata; Mammalia; Rodentia; Muridae. The record is from RefSeq and is a predicted model, not a curated record. The transcript is spliced from 3 exons.
GAGCUUUCACUUGAAGGCUCAACUACCGAGCACUUUCCCUGCUCUGAAGGCAGACUUGUCCCUAACUGGGAGCUUUACUUUGAGGCUCAACUACCGAGCACUUUCCUGCUCUGAAGGCAGACUUCUCCCUAA